RNAcentral lists this long non-coding RNA (1686 nucleotides) under Homo sapiens (human). RNAcentral's name for it is "HSALNT0058436". Lineage: Eukaryota; Metazoa; Chordata; Mammalia; Primates; Hominidae. The record is from RNAcentral.
GAAUCAAUGGGAAAAUAAAAAGGAAAAUCCAGACAUUAAAGCAGCAUUUCAUGUCAUCAACAUGGGUGGCUUCUCCACCUUCCUCAAAGUAGAAUAGCAAACUUUUAAGUUCCCAAGGUGUUUACCUACUUAGCCACACAUACCAUGGGCCCACUUCUCAGUGGCUUUGAUAUACCUAGCAUGGUCUAAAGAAGUGUCAGACUAACUCAUCUUACAAAAGGAACCGCUUAAUAAUAAAAGAGCUGUGCAAGUAGCUUGUUUCAUCUUAAUUAGCCCAAGAUGAUGCUUCUGAAGUGCUGUGCUUUCUUAUCUAUCCUUCCUGCUGCAAGGGAAGAAGACUUUGACAUCUUUAACAACUCAGCCUCAGGAACCAGAAUCAGGAGUAGCAGAUCUUGCAUUGGCAUUGUCAAAGAAGCUGUAAAAAUGGGUGCCUAAAAUAAAUUUGCCUUUGUAUUGGAAUAAGCUGUCAUGUGCAAUGUGAGAGGGCUGGGAUAAGCUAUCAUGUGCAGUGUGAGAUAGCUUACUGUCCAGUGUGAGAUAGCUGGAACAAGCUAUCAUGUGCAGUGUGAGAGGGCUGGAAAGUGACUUUUAGCAUCUGUGUUCAACAGUGGAAAUCACACAUCUACUGUGUGAUAGGAGGAUGCCAGACCCUGGAGGGGAGAAAAAUACAGUGCCUCUGCCAUCAGAGAAUCUAUGUUGACUGCAUUAGAAGGAAAAGGGAAGCAAUGGUUGAAAGUGAAAAUGUAGAUGAUGAUAUUUUUACUUUAGAAAUGCAUUAGUCACUUGUAAGAAGUCUGCCCACCUCUUUUCAAUUAUUGCUUGAGACCAAUGUUAGUCAACAGGUUAGAUUCAGAAAGCUUCAGAGGUCUCUCUUUAGUAUUUUGUUUCCACCUGGCACCAGCAACAGUGUCCUCAGUGGCCUUGAGUGUUUGCGCAACCAGAAAAUAGGAGUGGAAAUGCCCCCCGCUGCAAUUGAAUCAGCAUCCCAUGUAACCUGCCAGCUGGGUAGCCACCCCGAGCCUCUGCCAUUAACUUCAUUUACACAUUGUUCUCACUCAGCCACUCACAGGAAGGCAUCUUUAUGAAAGCACUGCAAACACUAUGUGUGAAAAAAUCCAGAUGGUAUAAAUAGCUUUUCACUUCUAAUUGCAACUUGCCCCUCACAUUUUGUUUCCUGAGAGCUCUGAAAAGAGACCGAUCCAAACCACUAAUAGCACAGGAGCUCUGGGAGGGUGAGUCAGUGUCUACUGCUGAAGGAGAACAAAGAUGAAGAGAGAACGGCAGGAGUCCCAGAAGGCCAUUUCAGGCUUGAAGGAGUACUUUUCUGCAGGGUAGUGCCCAGCCAGACAAACAGGGAAUGGUUUCCUGGAGUACCUGAUAGGUCAGCUCUUUGAUGCAUCGCUCAAGUCUGCGGGCUCCCCUCUGGGCCUCUGCACUGCGACGGAUUUCACCCUCCAGUUCACCUUCCAGUUCACGAACCUGCAACCAAAACGUGACCUCAGACCAGACGCUGCCACCAAGUCUGGCAUUCUAUUUGCUGAUUGGCACAAUCAUUUGAAAGACAGCAAAGUGUCAAGGGAACAUGCACACACUGUUUUUGGUGCUUAAACAGGACAGUGUCUCUGGGAAAACUCUCUCGCCAAAAGUAAGAUCUUUUAUGGAUUCAUAAAAGAACUAUUUAGACUG